AGAUGCAGCUGCUGUGAGUACAUGCACCUGUAGUUCUUUUUGAAUGAUAUAACAGUAACACAUUGAUGCGUUUGUCAUCAAGUGAUAGGUCGAGCGCUAUAAAACUAGCUUCAAUCCAUUAUUUUCUUAAUUUGAAAAUGCCUGUACCAAAUCAGGAUUAUGAACGUUUUUGUCCGUUCGUUUGAUGUGUAUAUUCAUUGAUUUUGCCAUUUGAUUAGGGACUUUCCAUUUUGAGUUUCCUCAGAGUUCAGUAUUUUUGUGAUUUUAUUUUGUAUACCAUGUUAUGUACGUAUUGAAGUUGUAGCUUUACAAUAUUAGGUAAAAUGAACAAUGUAUACAUGGAACACACAUAUGAAAGAAAAGGGCCGUAAGAUAAAAGAGCGACAUUCAAACGCAUUGAUCGAAAAUAAACUAACAACGCCAUGUCUAAAAAAGAAAAAUGAUAGUACACAAGGCACAACGUAGAAAACUAAGGACUUUGCAGCAAAAAUCCCACCGCUAUUAUUUAUAUGAAUUUAUAGCAACAAUAAAUAUUUUUUUAAUUUAUCUUGUUAUGGUGUGGGAUUGCAAUGAUUCAAUAACCAAAACUAUAAAGGUUUACUUUAGUAUCUGUAAAUUUUAAUGUGUUUGAAGGAACUUAUGUUCUGAACUAAAGUGUAUGUCACAUGUAGACCGUACGUUGUUCACAUCCGUUGUAAUUAUCUCAAUUUUUUGUGUCUUAUGUGCUUCAAUCCUGCUAUAUAAUUACAAAUCUAUCGGUAAAUAGUUCUAUUCUCAAUUUUACUAUCUGAAUAUUCUUUUUGGAAUAUUUUUCACGUUCAUUUAAUUUUAUUUAUGACUGUCUUUAGUGUGUGAAAUGAUUUGUGAAGCAAUUCCAAGUUUGCUAUUGUGUGGUUUUAAAACCACACUUAAUGGCAACAUUAAAGAAAAAUUACUUUUUUGCGUAUUUAAAGAAAUGAUCUUGUCAUGUUUCUUUAUAUAAAGAGGGUUUAUUUUCUGUAUAAUUUUCAAAACAUGUUUUUCAAUUUUGAAUUCCGAACUUUCUAUUGCUAAUCAGCAAUCGAAUAAAGGCAGUAGUAUAUACCGAUGUUCAAACGCGAAAACAAAUGCCGAUAAAAUAUAUAUUUUAAGGUCCUUGGAAUUGAAAUACAAUGAUAAGGUGAUGAGUUUUUUUUUGCAGUAUUGACAGGCCAUUGUUUCAAGAAAUCUGUCAUUUUCUUCUCACCCUUUCCCCUGAUACUUUUAAAGUGGACCAGUAUAGUCUUCCUUUUUGAAUCUACAUCAUAAUUGAUGCUAACUGUAAUCGUUUUACUAUUUCAGUAUUAUGGUCCAAACUAUGGUCCUCCAAGACGUUACGGAGGUGGCAACUAUAACAGAUACAAUGGAUAUGGCGGACGUUAUGGUGGAAAUAGACCCUGGAACUGGAAUAGAGGACGAUAUGCACGAAAAUAUUGGUAGAGGAAUAAAUAAGCUGUCAAUAAUAAUAUAAAAGAUAGAUAAUAAAGUUUCAUUUCUGUUUCAUCUCAA
RNAcentral lists this long non-coding RNA (1527 nucleotides) under Mytilus galloprovincialis (Mediterranean mussel). Lineage: Eukaryota; Metazoa; Mollusca; Bivalvia; Mytilida; Mytilidae. The record is from RNAcentral.